This 917-nucleotide ribosomal RNA is filed under the name uncultured bacterium. RNAcentral describes it as "bacterial SSU rRNA". It matches the Rfam family "Archaeal small subunit ribosomal RNA", at positions 1 to 921 of the family's 1478-position model. The record is from RNAcentral.
UUCCGGUUGAUCCUGCCAGAGGUUACUGCUAUCGGUGUUCGCCUAAGCCAUGCGAGUCAUAUGUAGCAAUACAUGGCGUACUGCUCAGUAACACGUGGAUAACCUGCCCUUGGGACCGGCAUAACCCCGGGAAACUGGGGAUAAUUCCGGAUAACGCAUAUUUGCUGGAAUGCUUUAUGCGUCAAAAGGAUUCGUCUGCCCAAGGAUGGGUCUGCGGCCUAUCAGGUAGUAGUGGGUGUAAUGUACCUACUAGCCAGCGACGGGUACGGGUUGUGAGAGCAAGAGCCCGGAGAUGGAUUCUGAGACAUGAAUCCAGGCCCUACGGGGCGCAGCAGGCGCGAAAACUUUACAAUGCGGGAAACCGUGAUAAGGGGACACCGAGUGCCAGCAUCAUAUGCUGGCUGUCCGGAUGUGUAAAAUACAUCCGUUAGCAAGGGCCGGGCAAGACCGGUGCCAGCCGCCGCGGUAACACCGGCGGCCCGAGUGGUGAUCGUGAUUAUUGGGUCUAAAGGGUCCGUAGCCGGUUUGGUCAGUCCUCCGGGAAAUCUGAUAGCUCAACUAUUAGGCUUUCGGGGGAUACUGCCAGACUUGGAACCGGGAGAGGUAAGAGGUACUACAGGGGUAGGAGUGAAAUCUUGUAAUCCCUGUGGGACCACCUGUGGCGAAGGCGUCUUACCAGAACGGGUUCGACGGUGAGGGACGAAAGCUGGGGGCACGAACCGGAUUAGAUACCCGGGUAGUCCCAGCCGUAAACGAUGCUCGCUAGGUGUCAGGCAUGGCGCGACCGUGUCUGGUGCCGCAGGGAAGCAGUGAAGCGAGCCACCUGGGAAGUACGGCCGCAAGGCUGAAACUUAAAGGAAUUGGCGGGGGAGCACAACAACGGGUGGAGCCUGCGGUUUAAUUGGAUUCAACGCCGG